Molecule: long non-coding RNA, 896 nt
Organism: Phyllopteryx taeniolatus (common seadragon)
Lineage: Eukaryota; Metazoa; Chordata; Actinopteri; Syngnathiformes; Syngnathidae
Exons: 3
Source: RefSeq, a predicted model, not a curated record
CAAAGCCUGCAGAAAAAUUCUACACAUUUUAUUUUUUGCUGCAAGGGUGCCUUGCUAAUGAAAUCAUAAGUGGGUGUUGCUAUUGAUGUUUGCUAAUGGUCUGUCUGUACAAAGAAAGUGUGUGUGUGUCUUUUUUUGUCUACCACAUGGUCCCACUUUAUCCCAUUGAAAACUGUUAGCUUGAGCUAGUUGCCAGCUUGAUAACUGUCGACUGGCUAGCUCAGAUUCGCCUCAACACAAAGAUUCAUUCCCUGACUUGUGGGGUGGAGAACAAGCCGGAGGAGACAACGGAGCACAAAGUGAUGACGGAAGUGAGCCAGACAAAGUGACAGAGAAGGAGAAGAAGAAGAAGAGGAAGAAGAAGAACGUAGGCCUUGGGGAUGGAAGACAAAGAAAGGCAGUCAAUAGAUAAAGCCAGACAGACAAGACUGUGUGGGCGUGUUCACUGGAGGUGCUGGAGACAAACCCUUCACCUGUCAAUCAAAUAUGUUCGCUGUAGUCAACUGCUGGCUGAACAAUGUGUGCCACUGUGUUUAUGGUUAAUAAACAGUUAACUUUCCCGUGUGUGUGUAUGUGUGUUAUGUGGGGACUAACAAACACAACAACUCCGAGCGAGGCGCUGCUGUUUUAAACGACUUCGCCGAGGUUGAGCGAGCUGUUUAGCUCCUUCGCUCACUAGUUCCAUAGCUCGUGGCUAGUAAACAUAACAAGUGGUUGAAUUAAGUGUCUCUGUUCUGUUGAUCUACGCAUGAAGCAAGGCUGUGGCGUAUUGGACGGCGCCAACGCCGGUCCACAAGCCCACUAGCGGCUAAUAUGUACUACCCUAGCCACUAUAGUAGCAGGCCACUUUGCAGUGAAGCCGUCUAACUCACAGUCAGCUCGCUGUGUGGGCCGCA